CCUACGGGAUGCAGCAGUAGGGAAUCUUCGGCAAUGGACGGAAGUCUGACCGAGCAACGCCGCGUGAGUGAAGAAGGUUUUCGGAUCGUAAAGCUCUGUUGUAAGAGAAGAACGAGUGUGAGAGUGGAAAGUUCACACUGUGACGGUAUCUUACCAGAAAGGGACGGCUAACUACGUGCCAGCAGCCGCGGUAAUACGUAGGUCCCGAGCGUUGUCCGGAUUUAUUGGGCGUAAAGCGAGCGCAGGCGGUUAGAUAAGUCUGAAGUUAAAGGCUGUGGCUUAACCAUAGUACGCUUUGGAAACUGUUUAACUUGAGUGCAAGAGGGGAGAGUGGAAUUCCAUGUGUAGCGGUGAAAUGCGUAGAUAUAUGGAGGAACACCGGUGGCGAAAGCGGCUCUCUGGCUUGUAACUGACGCUGAGGCUCGAAAGCGUGGGGAGCAAACAGGAUUAGAUACCCCAGUAGUC
RNAcentral lists this ribosomal RNA (465 nucleotides) under uncultured bacterium. RNAcentral's name for it is "bacterial SSU rRNA". It matches the Rfam family "Bacterial small subunit ribosomal RNA", at positions 338 to 795 of the family's 1533-position model. The record is from RNAcentral.